GGAAGACUAAAAUUGAUCCACGUCUUUACACAAAUCGAAGAUACACAUACACAUUCAUCUACUUUUAAACAUUUCCUCAUAAAUUUUGAACCUGUGUUGCUUAAAGAUUUCUUGUUAGCUUCUGUUGUAGCCUCAACUUUGUCUAGUUGAUAAUUUUUAUUGACAAGUGUGUUUAGUCAUUCAAAUUUCUUCAGUUGGAGAUUGAUACUAGCACGAUGAACAAAUAAAAAUAUAACAUGCCUUAAUCUUAUCAGAGAAGGUCGUUCAAGGUCUAACAAUACCACCUUUUGAGAACAGUAAAGUGUGACUCGAUCCUUUUGUUCAUCAAACUGCAUAAUAUGAAUCAAUAAGAGUAAUGCCACCCAAAACUAGUGGGGACUUUUGACACACACACCAAAUAUUCAUAUAUGGACAAUCAACAGUGACUGCUUCAUCUCGUUUACAGCCAUUAAAACUUUUUAAAAAUAAAUAUAAUAAAAAAUUGUCUGACCAUAAUCUUAAUUCAGAGCAACCAAAAUCAUCUUCUGCAUGAACUACGAUUUAG
Molecule: unclassified non-coding RNA, 544 nt
Filed under: Hevea brasiliensis (rubber tree)
Lineage: Eukaryota; Viridiplantae; Streptophyta; Magnoliopsida; Malpighiales; Euphorbiaceae
Source: RNAcentral